This 2701-nucleotide long non-coding RNA is filed under the name Malus domestica (apple). RNAcentral's name for it is "long non-coding RNA (MDOM_LNC020911)". The record is from RNAcentral. Lineage: Eukaryota; Viridiplantae; Streptophyta; Magnoliopsida; Rosales; Rosaceae.
UCCUAAACGUUCCUGAUCAUAGGAUUGCCAAUUGGGCAUUGACAGUCCGUUAAGAUCAGUACGUGUUGUGUAUUCUCUCAGGGAGAGUGACUAGUCUCGAGUCAUUGGUGUGUGUGACAUCAAGACAAGUACGUAGGUGCUCAAUAGAGAAUGAGUUCACUGAACACGAUCAACGAAGAGGUCUCAUAUUCAUGUCAUAUGAGAACUCAUGGUUGGGAUAAUGCAAAGUAGUCCUUUGACCUGAGGCAUCAUAGUUGUCUUGUGAUUAAGUCCUUGAUCUUUGAUUAUGUCAAAGUCACUCCAUCAGGAGGGUUUCCACGGCAUAGUUGGGGUUAAGCCACUUAGCUAUGGAGGCAAGUGAAUGCGCAACAAGGGAUCUAUAACCUUCAAACCGUUUGGGGGAGAAUACUCUAUGAUAUGAUUUAGAAUCUCUGGCCAGAGUAUGAAUGAGAUUUAGGAAAGUCGUUCCAAAUCACAUUCAAGGUAAUCAUAUAAGCACACGAAUCACAUUGGAUAGUAGACAUGAAUAAACUAUCAAACCAAACAAUGUGGUCAAGAGUAUUGUAUUAGAGAAAGACCGUAUUGCAUUUGUAAUCCUAAACUGAAUAGGUUCUCUACCUCUUCUGAUUAGCUUGGGUUGAAGGGAAAAUUAUGAGUUUAACACAUGGGAUUUCUAAAUGACUAGCAUGCAUAUACAAUUCAAAAUUUAUAUACAUGAGCAACGAAAGCAAUUUAUCAAAUAAUAUCAAAGCUAUAGUCAUGCAAAUCCCUUUCAAGGUUCAUAGGUUUAUAUAUAAUGCAUCUAAAACAUUCAAGUUAAUAAUAAAGUUAAGGUAUAGAUCUAUACCUCUUGAUCUUGAUUUUAGACCAAGUAUGGACCACCUCCAAGUCCUUUGCUCCUUGAAGUCCUUGAGCCUAGCCUCCCUCCUUGCCUCCUCCACUUUGUUAGUAAGAGUGCUCCAAGGUUCUCCUUUAGUCUCCAAAGGAGAAGACCUCUAAAUAUCCACACCCACUAGUGUAGUGAGAUGGAUGGAGGAAUAACCAAAAGGGUGAAAGAUUGUUAGCUAAAACACCCUCAAGGUGGUCGGCCUUUUGUGGUUUUAGAGAGAUGUUUCUUUUGCCUCUUUGUUGUUUUAAAACACACAAAAAACCUUAAGGAUUAAAUCUCUAUAAAGCUCCUUAUAUAGACAAAAAGAAACCUAGUCAACAACUUGACGAAAUAUCUCUCCCUCUCCACUUUAAAGGGCUGGCCCCUUUGUGUUGGUUUGGGCUUUGGGCUUUUAUUUAUUUCUAGUCAUCCAAUGCUUGAAUAAAAGCCCAAUGGCUUUAGGCCCAAUGGGCCCAAUUAAACCCGAACGUUUCUUUAAGCCCAAAACGAUCUUUUAUCGCUUUUAUGAUUUCUUUAGACUUUCUAAAUUAAUCACAACACUUAAUUAAUCCAAUUAAUUAUUUCCAUCAUCCAUUAAUUACUCACUACAAGAGUAUAUCGGUGUACAAUCAUUUUAGGUUCUAAUUAGCAAGGCAGUGAGGUGAUUGACAUCAAUCCAAUUGAUUAUAUUUAAUCCAAUCACUUAGUGAAUUAAAACUUCCUUUUAAUUCACCUUUCUUCUUGAUGACUACAUUUAAUCAUCUAGAAGAACUCACAAGCUAUGAGUGACAUCUAACCAUAUGUCAUAGCUACCCAAGCUAAUGUAGAAGUUGUUCGGAGAACCUAUUCAGUUGGAAUUACAAUGUAAUUCGAUCCUUCUCUAAAACAAUACUUUCAAUCACAUUACUAGGGUAUGGAUAUAUUAUGUCAAACCCCUAAUGUGAUUAUUCCUUCUUAUAUGAUUCAAUUGAGUCGUAUAGGAACGCUUUCCUUUAUUACACUCGAUACUUCGGCCGAAGAUUCCCGAAUCAUAUCUUAGAGUAUUCUUCCUCCCUUAUCGAGGAUUAGAGAUUCCUUGUUGCACAUUCACUUGCCUUCAUGACUAAGUGGCUUAACCCCAAUUAUGCCGUGGACAUCCGCGAAUGGGGUGACUUUGACAUAAUCAAAGAUUAAGUACUUAGCCACAAGACAACGACGAUGCCUCAGGUCAAAGGACUACUUACAUUAUUCCAACCAUAAGAGUUACUUGCUUGACAUGUGAGUAGACCUCCAUGCAAGUACUCUCGUUCGAUUGUGUUCAGUGAACUCAUUCCCUGAAUGAGCACUUACAUACUUGUCUUAGUGUCACUCACAAAUGGGAUGAGACUUUCCAUUCUCCCAUUUGAAGCGGACAUAGUAUGUACCGGUCUAAGCAUUGUCAGUUUCCCUCCGACAAUCCAAUGACCAGGAACCUUUUGGACAUAAUGGUUAUGUGAAGAAGGUCUCUGUAGUCUAACAUCAUUAGAUUACUUCUUCAAUCGAUCCAUUGUCCAUGGAUUCAUUAAUUAGGACAUAUAUCAUUUAUUGAGAUAGUCCUAAUUAGUAUCUUUGCCAUUUGAUGUAUAAGAGUCAUCCAUACAUCGAUUCAUUUGUCCUGAAAGGUUUCUUCCAAAGAUUGACUUUCAGGGCAUAUUUCCAACAUGGGUAACCAUGAUAUGCUGCUAGGUGUCACUUUUGGUUUGUGGAAGCCCUAAACGUGUAUAAACACUAAAGGGAGAAUUGAAAGUAAGUUUCAAUUCACAAUCGAUUUGAAAGAGUUUUAAUCGCCUACUGCCUCGCUAAAAGGAACCUAAU